GAUAGAUUGGAUACGACUGAGUUAUUUUGCUGUGAAUCAAGUAUUAGCUCAGGUAAAUACUUUUAACUUAUUUUCCCUAUACGGGCUUGGGAUACGGUAUAUUAAUACCGCUUGGUCGGGUAUGGGAUUAUUUUGUCGGAUUGUACUACUCAUAAUAGGCUGGGAGUUGCUCGGUGUCGAAAAAGAGGAUCUUGCAAAUCCUUAAAGAUGCCAUAAAGUCUG
This 222-nucleotide long non-coding RNA is filed under the name Helianthus annuus (common sunflower). Its description in RNAcentral is "sRNA HanXRQr2_Chr07g0303101". Lineage: Eukaryota; Viridiplantae; Streptophyta; Magnoliopsida; Asterales; Asteraceae. The record is from RNAcentral.